This 409-nucleotide ribosomal RNA is filed under the name uncultured bacterium. Its description in RNAcentral is "bacterial SSU rRNA". It matches the Rfam family "Bacterial small subunit ribosomal RNA", at positions 355 to 776 of the family's 1533-position model. The record is from RNAcentral.
UGGGGAAUAUUGGACAAUGGGCGGAAGCCUGAUCCAGCAACGCCGCGUGAGGGAUGACGGCCUUCGGGUUGUAAACCUCUUUCACCGAUGACGAAGCGCAAGUGACGGUAGUCGGAGAAGAAGCACCGGCCAACUACGUGCCAGCAGCCGCGGUAAUACGUAGGGUGCGAGCGUUGUCCGGAAUUAUUGGGCGUAAAGGGCUCGUAGGCGGUUUGUCGCGUCGGGAGUGAAAACACCGGGCUUAACUCGGUGCUUGCUUUCGAUACGGGCAGACUAGAGGUAUGCAGGGGAGAACGGAAUUCCUGGUGUAGCGGUGAAAUGCGCAGAUAUCAGGAGGAACACCGGUGGCGAAGGCGGUUCUCUGGGCAUGACCUGACGCUGAGGAGCGAAAGUGUGGGGAGCGAACAGG